UGACGCUCUCGGCGCGUGACGUCGCACGCUGUGGUAUAAAUAAAGACCGCGCGGGGGUUGCUUCCUCUGUGCUCGCGCGGCCGGCUCGCAACAUGGCGCCUCAGAAAGACAAGAAACCCAAGAAGUCGACCUGGAAGUUUAAUUUGGACCUUACUCAUCCGGUGGAGGAUGGAAUUUUUGAUUCUGGAAAUUUUGGUGCCUUCCCUAGUGAACAUCUAGGGUUCUCUUCCCUAGUUUUGCAUUCUUUCUGUUUUAAAAUAGGAGCAGUUUCUACGGGAGAAGGUUAAAGUUAAUGGCAAGACUGGAAAUCUCGGGAAUGUUGUUCACAUUGAACGCUUCAAGAAUAAAAUCACUGUUGUUUCUGAGAAACAGUUCUCUAAAAGGUAUUUGAAAUACCUUACCAAGAAAUACCUUAAGAAGAACAAUCUUCGUGAUUGGCUUCGAGUGGUUGCAUCUGACAAGGAGACAUAUGAACUUCGUUACUUCCAGAUUAGUCAAGAUGAAGAUGAAUCAGAGUCAGAGGACUAGGCAAAGGCUUCCCUUACAGGGCUUUGCUUAUUAAUAAAAUAAAUGAAGUAUACAUGAGAAAUACCAAGAAAUUGGCUUUUAGUUUAUCAGUGAAUAAAAAAUACUGUACUC
This is an RNA transcript of Sapajus apella (tufted capuchin), 639 nucleotides long. It is a transcript of the gene named ribosomal protein L22 like 1, with no coding region annotated. NCBI's taxonomy places the organism in Eukaryota, Metazoa, Chordata, Mammalia, Primates, Cebidae. The transcript has 4 exons. The record is from RefSeq and is a predicted model, not a curated record.